RNAcentral lists this ribosomal RNA (1611 nucleotides) under Staphylococcus aureus. RNAcentral's name for it is "partial 23S ribosomal RNA". It matches the Rfam family "Bacterial large subunit ribosomal RNA", at positions 12 to 1619 of the family's 2925-position model. Lineage: Bacteria; Bacillati; Bacillota; Bacilli; Caryophanales; Staphylococcaceae. The record is from RNAcentral.
UAAGGGCGCACGGUGGAUGCCUUGGCACUAGAAGCCGAUGAAGGACGUUACUAACGACGAUAUGCUUUGGGGAGCUGUAAGUAAGCUUUGAUCCAGAGAUUUCCGAAUGGGGAAACCCAGCAUGAGUUAUGUCAUGUUAUCGAUAUGUGAAUACAUAGCAUAUCAGAAGGCACACCCGGAGAACUGAAACAUCUUAGUACCCGGAGGAAGAGAAAGAAAAUUCGAUUCCCUUAGUAGCGGCGAGCGAAACGGGAAGAGCCCAAACCAACAAGCUUGCUUGUUGGGGUUGUAGGACACUCUAUACGGAGUUACAAAGGACGACAUUAGACGAAUCAUCUGGAAAGAUGAAUCAAAGAAGGUAAUAAUCCUGUAGUCGAAAAUGUUGUCUCUCUUGAGUGGAUCCUGAGUACGACGGAGCACGUGAAAUUCCGUCGGAAUCUGGGAGGACCAUCUCCUAAGGCUAAAUACUCUCUAGUGACCGAUAGUGAACCAGUACCGUGAGGGAAAGGUGAAAAGCACCCCGGAAGGGGAGUGAAAUAGAACCUGAAACCGUGUGCUUACAAGUAGUCAGAGCCCGUUAAUGGGUGAUGGCGUGCCUUUUGUAGAAUGAACCGGCGAGUUACGAUUUGAUGCAAGGUUAAGCAGUAAAUGUGGAGCCGUAGCGAAAGCGAGUCUGAAUAGGGCGUUUAGUAUUUGGUCGUAGACCCGAAACCAGGUGAUCUACCCUUGGUCAGGUUGAAGUUCAGGUAACACUGAAUGGAGGACCGAACCGACUUACGUUGAAAAGUGAGCGGAUGAACUGAGGGUAGCGGAGAAAUUCCAAUCGAACCUGGAGAUAGCUGGUUCUCUCCGAAAUAGCUUUAGGGCUAGCCUCAAGUGAUGAUUAUUGGAGGUAGAGCACUGUUUGGACGAGGGGCCCCUCUCGGGUUACCGAAUUCAGACAAACUCCGAAUGCCAAUUAAUUUAACUUGGGAGUCAGAACAUGGGUGAUAAGGUCCGUGUUCGAAAGGGAAACAGCCCAGACCACCAGCUAAGGUCCCAAAAUAUAUGUUAAGUGGAAAAGGAUGUGGCGUUGCCCAGACAACUAGGAUGUUGGCUUAGAAGCAGCCAUCAUUUAAAGAGUGCGUAAUAGCUCACUAGUCGAGUGACACUGCGCCGAAAAUGUACCGGGGCUAAACAUAUUACCGAAGCUGUGGAUUGUCCUUUGGACAAUGGUAGGAGAGCGUUCUAAGGGCGUUGAAGCAUGAUCGUAAGGACAUGUGGAGCGCUUAGAAGUGAGAAUGCCGGUGUGAGUAGCGAAAGACGGGUGAGAAUCCCGUCCACCGAUUGACUAAGGUUUCCAGAGGAAGGCUCGUCCGCUCUGGGUUAGUCGGGUCCUAAGCUGAGGCCGACAGGCGUAGGCGAUGGAUAACAGGUUGAUAUUCCUGUACCACCUAUAAUCGUUUUAAUCGAUGGGGGGACGCAGUAGGAUAGGCGAAGCGUGCGAUUGGAUUGCACGUCUAAGCAGUAAGGCUGAGUAUUAGGCAAAUCCGGUACUCGUUAAGGCUGAGCUGUGAUGGGGAGAAGACAUUGUGUCUUCGAGUCGUUGAUUUCACACUGCCGAGAAAAGCC